CAACUCUGGGUUCCCUUCAAAACGAAUAAAUGUUUCGCCUUGUACUAAAGAUUUCCAUGGAGGGGAGCAUUAAAUGAGUCUGUAACGUAUUUUCGUAGUGCUCGGCUCUUGAUGAGCAA
Molecule: small nuclear RNA, 119 nt
Organism: Schistocerca americana (American grasshopper)
Lineage: Eukaryota; Metazoa; Arthropoda; Insecta; Orthoptera; Acrididae
Product: U5 spliceosomal RNA
Exons: 1
Source: RefSeq, a predicted model, not a curated record